This 508-nucleotide ribosomal RNA is filed under the name uncultured bacterium. RNAcentral's name for it is "bacterial SSU rRNA". It matches the Rfam family "Bacterial small subunit ribosomal RNA", at positions 32 to 512 of the family's 1533-position model. The record is from RNAcentral.
AAUCAACGCUGGCGGCGUGCCUCAGACAUGCAAGUCGAACGCGAAAGUUCCCUUCGGGGAGCGAGUAGAGUGGCGCACGGGUGAGUAACACGUAGGUAAUUUGCCUUUGGGUGGGGAAUAACUCAGGGAAACUUGAGCUAAUACCGCAUAAUGCAGCGGCUCGACAUCGAGACAGUUGUUAAAGCGGGGGAUUGGAGCAAUCCGACCUCGCGCCUAAAGAGAAGCCUGCGGCAGAUUAGCUAGUUGGUAGGGUAAUGGCUUACCAAGGCGACGAUCUGUAACCGGCCUGAGAGGGCGGUCGGUCACACUGACACUGACAUACGGGUCAGACUCCUACGGGAGGCAGCAGUCGGGAAUUUUGGGCAAUGGGCGCAAGCCUGACCCAGCAACGCCGCGUGAAGGAUGAAAUUUUCGGAAUGUAAACUUCGCAAGAACAGGAAGAAUAAGUAGGGACAAGACCCCUAUGAUGACGGUACUGUUUGUAAGCUCCGGCUAACUCCGUGCCAGC